Molecule: long non-coding RNA, 361 nt
Filed under: Monodelphis domestica (gray short-tailed opossum)
Lineage: Eukaryota; Metazoa; Chordata; Mammalia; Didelphimorphia; Didelphidae
Description: lncRNA (ENSMODG00000047222.1)
Source: RNAcentral
GGAGAGACCUGCUUCCCUCUCUGAUGGAUAUAGCCUUCAGACUGGACUAAGGGGAAAAUAGCCCCUGCCCCCUUGGUAACUAGGAAGUAGGCACUGAGGGGAAAGAGAAUCAUCCAAAGGAGUCUGAGGGCAGAGGUCUUGGAUCCCGUCUCAACAGGGUCAGCCUCCUCUUCAGAGUAUCAGACUUCUGACCCAAUUCCUUCAGAAUAACAGAAAAUUAGAACUGGAAGAGGCCUUCGAAAUCAGAAUCCAGAGAUGAGGAAACUGAGGACCACGGAAGUGGAGCAUCCUGCCUGAGGUCACCCAGCUACCGAGGUAGUACAACUAGGAAUUGAAUAAAGCCCUUCAGACUCCACCUCCA